Molecule: ribosomal RNA, 751 nt
Filed under: uncultured bacterium
Lineage: Bacteria
Description: bacterial SSU rRNA
Rfam family: Bacterial small subunit ribosomal RNA
Source: RNAcentral
AGAGUUUGAUCCUGGCUCAGGACGAACGCUGGCGGCGGGCUUAACACAUGCAAGUCGAAGGAGAAGGUAAGUGCUUGCACUUACUGGAGACUGGCGGACGGGUGAGUAACGCGUAGAUAACCUGCCUAUAUCUGGGGGAUAACAUCUCGAAAGGGGUGCUAAUACCGCAUAAUGCAGCGGGGCCGCAUGGCCACAGUUGUUAAAGGUUUCGGCCGGAUAUAGAGGGGUCUGCGUACUAUUAGUUAGUUGGUAAGGUAACGGCUUACCAAGGCGAUGAUAGUUAGGGGGUCUGAGAGGAUGAUCCCCCACACUGGGACUGAGACACGGCCCAGACUCCUACGGGAGGCAGCAGUGAGGAAUCUUGCGCAAUGGGCGAAAGCCUGACGCAGCCACGCCGCGUGCCGGAAGACGGCCCUAUGGGUUGUAAACGGCUUUUAAAAGGGAAGAACGCCCGGGUUUCGACCUGGGGUGACGGUACCUUUUGAAUAAGCACCGGCUAACUCCGUGCCAGCAGCCGCGGUAAUACGGAGGGUGCAAGCGUUGUCCGGAAUCAUUGGGUGUAAAGGGUGCGUAGGUGGGAGCCUAAGUCUGUGGUGAAAUCUUGCCGCUUAACGGUAAAAUUGCCAUGGAUACUGGGUUUCUUGAGUACAGAAGAGGUCGGUGGAAUUCGUAGUGUAGCGGUGAAAUGCAUAGAUAUUACGAAGAACAUCAGUGGCGAAAGCGGCCGGCUGGACUGUAACUGACACUGAGG